GAUGAACGCUGGCGGCAGGCCUAACACAUGCAAGUCGAACGGAUCCUUCGGGAUUAGUGGCGGACGGGUGAGUAACGCGUGGGAACAUACCCUUUGGUACGGAAUAGCCUCGGGAAACUGGGAGUAAUACCGUAUGUGGUCGAGAGACGAAAGAUUUAUCGCCAAAGGAUUGGCCCGCGUUGGAUUAGGUAGUUGGUGGGGUAAUGGCCUACCAAGCCGACGAUCCAUAGCUGGUUUGAGAGGAUGAUCAGCCACACUGGGACUGAGACACGGCCCAGACUCCUACGGGAGGCAGCAGUGGGGAAUCUUAGACAAUGGGGGAAACCCUGAUCUAGCCAUGCCGCGUGAUCGAUGAAGGCCUUAGGGUUGUAAAGAUCUUUCAGGGGGGAAGAUAAUGACUGUACCACCAGAAGAAGCCCCGGCUAACUCCGUGCCAGCAGCCGCGGUAA
This 449-nucleotide ribosomal RNA is filed under the name uncultured bacterium. RNAcentral describes it as "partial 16S ribosomal RNA". It matches the Rfam family "Bacterial small subunit ribosomal RNA", at positions 28 to 523 of the family's 1533-position model. The record is from RNAcentral.